UAAGGUCACGGCAAGACGAGCCGUUUAUGAUCACGAUAGGUGCCAAGUGGAAGUGCAGUAAUGUAUGUAGCUGAGGCAUCCUAACAGACCGAGAGAUUUGAAC
This 103-nucleotide ribosomal RNA is filed under the name Apopellia endiviifolia. RNAcentral describes it as "4.5S ribosomal RNA". Lineage: Eukaryota; Viridiplantae; Streptophyta; Jungermanniopsida; Pelliales; Pelliaceae. The record is from RNAcentral.